This 73-nucleotide transfer RNA is filed under the name Cordylochernes scorpioides. RNAcentral's name for it is "tRNA-Thr". The record is from RNAcentral. Lineage: Eukaryota; Metazoa; Arthropoda; Arachnida; Pseudoscorpiones; Chernetidae.
GUCCAGGGAUGGGAAUCGAACCCACAUUGUUUUGCUUACCGGGCAGAUGCCAUGUCCACUAGGCUACCCUGGA